GACCGCCCUCGAGACGGCCGCUUCUGGGCUAAGAUUGGUUGACAUGGCGACUGUGCCGCCGCUGUGGCGGAAGCGUCUCCAGGCUUCUUCUCUCAUUGGGCGUACUUCGCGUCGAUCAAAGAAACCUCUCUGCCGGGAUUUGUUCGCUCUGGUCCUCUGUUCCAGUGCUGUCAGCUGCUUGUACGCAUGGUGUGCCGGGGGCCUCGCCCCCCAUCCAUCUUCCAGGCCUCCACGACCAAGCCAAGGUUUGUGGAGCUCUCUUGGUAUUUAAUGUGUCUACUUGUUUAUCUCUCCUUCCAGACAGUAAGGCUGGCGUCCUUAAAAGCAGAGGUACAGAUUGACAGAUUUUACCGUAUGAAACUGAGGCAUUUCUGUAUGGCAAAGACUACAGUAAGCGAAGUAAACAAGCACACAAAUCAAAAGCAUGGGACUGGAGAUAACUAUGUUACAUGAUGAGAGGAUCUUCUGUUUGUGAUGGAUAACUGUCUCUUCACAUACUUCCAGACAACACCGCACAAAUGACUUUCUGGUCCCAAGAGAGAAAAUGUAACUUUACCAGUAUAAUCUGAUGGUAUAAAUUAGCGUUGCUAGUUAGGGAAUUACCAGAGAUUAUCUGUCUGCUGAUGUAAUUCAGUAUGAAGCACACAACCUACAUCAUUUAACCAAGAAUGUGUAACUUGAACUUAAACAAUAAUACCUAAUUUGCCUUUUAUAGGAAAUGUAGGAGACAAAGAAAACACUUAAAAAAAAAAAAAAAAAGACACCACAAGGAAA
Myotis myotis is the source of this 774-nucleotide long non-coding RNA. RefSeq lists it as uncharacterized. NCBI's taxonomy places the organism in Eukaryota, Metazoa, Chordata, Mammalia, Chiroptera, Vespertilionidae. The record is from RefSeq and is a predicted model, not a curated record. The transcript is spliced from 2 exons.